This 75-nucleotide antisense RNA is filed under the name Streptomyces auratus AGR0001. RNAcentral's name for it is "ASpks TB sRNA". It matches the Rfam family "ASpks TB sRNA". The record is from Rfam by way of RNAcentral. Lineage: Bacteria; Bacillati; Actinomycetota; Actinomycetes; Kitasatosporales; Streptomycetaceae.
CUUCACCGACCCCAGCCACAACGGCCGGUCCUCGUCCCGGCCCUGGCCGUAGGUGGCGAUCAGCGCCUGUGCCUC